RNAcentral lists this ribosomal RNA (924 nucleotides) under uncultured euryarchaeote. Its description in RNAcentral is "bacterial SSU rRNA". It matches the Rfam family "Archaeal small subunit ribosomal RNA", at positions 1 to 929 of the family's 1478-position model. The record is from RNAcentral. Lineage: Archaea; Methanobacteriati; Methanobacteriota.
UUUCCGGUUGAUCCUGCCGGAGGCUACUGUAUUGGGAUUCGACUAAGCCAUGCGAGUCAAGGUGUCUUCGGAGGGGGGCAUACGGCUCAGUAACACGUAGGUAACCUACCCUCAGGACUGAGAUAACCCCGGGAAACUGGGGCUAAUAUUAGAUAGAUAAAAGAUACUGGAAUGUUCUUUUAUCCAAAGCUUUUGCGCCUGAGGAUGGGCCUGCGUCCGAUUAGGUUGUUGGUGGGGUAAUGGCCCACCAAGCCUGCGAUCGGUACGGGCAGUGAGAGCUGAAGCCCGGAGUUGGGGACUGAGACAAGGCCCCAGGCCCUACGGGGCGCAGCAGGCGCGAAACCUCUGCAAUGCGGGAAACCGUGACAGGGGGAUCCCAAGUGCUCAUGCAUUGCAUGGGCUGUUCUUUGGUCUAAGUAACCAGAGGAGUAAGGGCUGGGCAAGACCGGUGCCAGCCGCCGCGGUAAUACCGGCAGCUCAAGUGGUAGCCGCGAUUAUUGGGCCUAAAGCGUUCGUAGCCGGAUAAGUAAGUCUUUGGUUAAAUCCUGCAACUUAACUGUGGGAAAUCUAGAGAUACUGCUUGUCUUGAGACCGGGAGAGGUUGGAGGUACUCCCAGGGUAGGGGUGAAAUCCUGUAAUCCUGGGGGGACCACCUGUGGCGAAGGCGUCCAACUGGAACGGGUCUGACGGUGAGGGACGAAACCUAGGGGAGCGAGCCGGAUUAGAUACCCGGGUAGUCCUAGGCGUAAAUGAUGCGAGUUCUUGUGGAGAAGGCAUCUACGAGAUGGCCCUGUGCUGUAGGGUAGCCGUUAAACUCGCCGCCUGGGGAGUACGGUCGCUCCGGCUGUAACUUAAAGGAAUUGGCGGGGGAGCACCACAAGACGGUGGUGCUCCCUUCAAUUGGAUUCAACGCCGGAAAUGCGU